CUCAGAUUGAACGCUGCGGCAGGCCUAACACAUGCAAGUCGAGCGGUAGAGAGGUGCUUGCAUCUCUUGAGAGCGGCGGACGGGUGAGUAAUGCCUAGGAUCUGCCUAGUGUGGGGGAUAACGUUCGGAAACGGACGCUAAUACCGCAUACGUCCUACGGGAGAAANCGGGGGAUCUUCGGACCUCGCGCCAUUAGAUGAGCCUAGGUCGGAUUAGCUAGUUGGUGAGGUUAAAGGCUCACCAAGCCAACGAUCUGUAGCUGGUCUGAGAGGACGACCAGCCACACUGGAACUGAGACACGGUCCAGACUCCUACGGGAGGCAGCAGUGGGGAAUUUUGGACAAUGGACGCAAGUCUGAUCCAGCCAUUCCGCGUGCAGGAUGAAGGCCCUCGGGUUGUAAACUGCUUUUGUACGGAACGAAAAGGUUUCUAUUAAUACUAGGAGCUCAUGACGGUACCGUAAGAAUAAGCACCGGCUAACUACGUG
This 487-nucleotide ribosomal RNA is filed under the name uncultured bacterium. Its description in RNAcentral is "bacterial SSU rRNA". It matches the Rfam family "Bacterial small subunit ribosomal RNA", at positions 23 to 507 of the family's 1533-position model. The record is from RNAcentral.